GAAAUGCGAUACCUAGUGUGAAUUGCAGAAUUCAGUGAAUCAUCAAACCUUUGAACGCACCUUGCGCCUGAGGCUAUACCUCAGGCAUGCCUGUUUGAGUGUCGUUUAAAAAUACUCACCCAAACCCCCCAGGUGGGGAAUGGGUGGAGCUGAGCAUCGGGAGGCUCUGUCCUCUCGUUGCUUGAAAUGCAGUGGAGAAAAUGAGGCCGCUCUCGUCGCCUUGUUGAACACGGCUCCCAUUGGUGUCUUAGUGUGCCUAGCACAUUUCCAGCAUCAAUAGGCUGAUGGACCGAGGUGACCGGAUGCUUCCUUCAGAACCACACCUGGCUCUCAUAGAGGCCACCUUUAAACCUGCGACCUCAAAUCAGGCAGAGCUACCCGCCGAAUUUAA
Molecule: unclassified non-coding RNA, 391 nt
Filed under: uncultured fungus
Lineage: Eukaryota; Fungi
Description: sequence contains ITS1
Rfam family: 5.8S ribosomal RNA (bases 1-104)
Source: RNAcentral